Molecule: unclassified non-coding RNA, 220 nt
Filed under: Kavinia alboviridis
Lineage: Eukaryota; Fungi; Basidiomycota; Agaricomycetes; Gomphales; Lentariaceae
Description: partial internal transcribed spacer 2
Source: RNAcentral
ACCUUCUCAACCCUUCCCUUCUUUUAGGGCUCUCGGGUUGGAUUUGGACGCUUGCCGUGGGUUUCGACCUUUCGGCUCGUCUUGAAAUGCAUCAGCUGGUCCGCCGCGCGAGUUUGGUAUUAACAACGGUGUGAUAAGAAACGCUUCGUGACUGUAGCGCCGUUUCGCCGACUCGUUGGAGGGGCUGCUUCCAACCGUCUUAGGACAAACCUUUCACUUC